UCUAGAACUCAAGAAAUAGGCUGAACACCGAACAGUGUCUGGGCUGCAGAACAUAUUCAAACUUCUCUUUUGUUGCUAAGAUUUGAACUUGAAAACUACAACUUUGAAUCUUGGACUCCUCCUGAAUGUUUUAGGCCUGUGUCUUAGCUUUACAUC
Populus trichocarpa (black cottonwood) is the source of this 156-nucleotide non-coding RNA. The record is from Rfam. NCBI's taxonomy places the organism in Eukaryota, Viridiplantae, Streptophyta, Magnoliopsida, Malpighiales, Salicaceae.